This 21-nucleotide unclassified non-coding RNA is filed under the name Mus musculus (house mouse). RNAcentral describes it as "oocyte_clustered_small_RNA7383". Lineage: Eukaryota; Metazoa; Chordata; Mammalia; Rodentia; Muridae. The record is from RNAcentral.
UCGGACACCCAAGAACUCACG